Drosophila willistoni is the source of this 1282-nucleotide RNA transcript. It is a transcript of the gene named electron transfer flavoprotein subunit beta, with no coding region annotated. The record is from RefSeq and is a predicted model, not a curated record. Lineage: Eukaryota; Metazoa; Arthropoda; Insecta; Diptera; Drosophilidae. The transcript is spliced from 4 exons.
GACCUUUGGACCACCCUCACUUCCCCUCUGCAGUGUCAUUAGAUUCACACUCAUUUCUAUCAACAGUUUUAAAGAAAGAUAAUGGCGCGUGUUUUGGUUGGUGUAAAGCGAGUGAUCGACUAUGCUGUAAAGGUUCGCGUUAAGCCGGACAAGACUGGUGUGGUUACACAAGGUGUCAAGCACUCCAUGAAUCCCUUCGAUGAGAUUGCCGUCGAGGAGGCCGUCAAGUUGAAGGAGAAGAAGCUAGCUGGUGAGGUAAUCGCCGUGUCAGUGGGACCAGCACAAUCGCAAGAGGUGAUCCGCACAGCUCUAGCCAUGGGCGCUGAUCGUGGUGUCCAUGUUGAGAUACCAGCUGCCGAGUACGAGCUAUUACAACCGAUCCAUGUAUCAAAAAUUCUCGCCAAGCUGGCACUGGAGGAGAAGGCUGAUCUGGUGAUAUUGGGCAAACAGGCGAUCGAUGACGAUGCCAAUCAGACGGCUCAAAUGACUGCUGCCGCCUUGGACUGGCCACAGGGCACAUUCUGCAACAAGAUCGAAAAGACGGAUGCUGGUCUGACCAUCACUCGGGAAAUCGAUGGCGGUCUGGAGACCAUCAAGACCAAAACACCUGCCGUACUGAGCGCAGAUUUGCGUUUGAAUACACCACGUUAUGCCACGUUGCCCAACAUCAUGAAGGCCAAGAAGAAGCCUCUGAAGAAGGUAACAGCCAAGGAUUUGGGCGUUGAUACAUCGCCACGUAUUGAGAUUGUUUCCGUGGAGGAUCCCCCAGUGCGUCAGGCCGGCGCUGCUGUGGCCGAUGUUGAUGCCCUGGUCGCUAAGCUCAAGGCGGGCGGUCACGCCUAACAUCCCAUCCUUUUUGGAGAAUUGUGAGCAAAACUUUCAACUUCUGUUUUAUUUUUAUAAUUCGUUUUGUUUUUGAAAUUUAUGAGAAAUGUGCAUUUAUCUAGCCUCCCAGAGAUUGCGUGUCUAUCUAAUCUGGUCUGGCCAUCUCCCCGCGCUAUAGCAAACCCCCCGAUUUAGUGCUUUAAGUCAUAACAAAUUUGGAAUUUUUUUUGAAUGGCCUGCAGUUUUAAGAAUAAAGUGUGUGAUUUCAAUUGUCGUUCAACUUGAGACAACUCCAAAAAAAUAACAGAAACAACGCCAAAAAUGGAAUCCAAACUUGACCUUACUCCUUUAUAUGUGGCAAAUCAAGGCUAAAAAUCCAAUUACUAUCUAUGGCAAAUAAUGAAAUAAAUUAAAUUGAAUUAAAAGCAAUUUAUUUUAAGCAAAAUGACAAACUAAA